RNAcentral lists this ribosomal RNA (253 nucleotides) under uncultured bacterium. RNAcentral's name for it is "partial 16S ribosomal RNA". It matches the Rfam family "Bacterial small subunit ribosomal RNA", at positions 524 to 776 of the family's 1533-position model. The record is from RNAcentral.
UACGAAGGGGGCUAGCGUGGCUCGGAAUCACUGGGCGUAAAGCGCACGUAGGCGGAUUGUUAAGUCAGGGGUGAAAUCCUGGAGCUCAACUCCAGAACUGCCUUUGAUACUGGCGAUCUCGAGUCCGGGAGAGGUGAGUGGAACUGCGAGUGUAGAGGUGAAAUUCGUAGAUAUUCGCAAGAACACCAGUGGCGAAGGCGGCUCACUGGCCCGGUACUGACGCUGAGGUGCGAAAGCGUGGGGAGCAAACAGG